ACCUUGCUGACGAGUGCUAAGUAGCACGAAACCCGUGUCCAGGGU
Molecule: non-coding RNA, 45 nt
Organism: Schistosoma rodhaini
Lineage: Eukaryota; Metazoa; Platyhelminthes; Trematoda; Strigeidida; Schistosomatidae
Source: Rfam